GUGGGGAAUUUUUCGCAAUGGGGGAAACCCUGACGAAGCAACGCCGCGUGGAGGAUGAAGGCCUUCGGGUCGUAAACUCCUGUCAACCGGGAAGAAAGUAGCCCGGCCCAACACGUCGGGCUAUCGACUGUACCGGUGGAGGAAGCUCCGGCUAACUCUGUGCCAGCAGCCGCGGUAAUACAGAGGGAGCAAGCGUUGUUCGGAAUUACUGGGCGUAAAGGGCGCGUAGGCGGCUUGGUCAGUCCCGUGUGAAAUCCCUCGGCUCAACUGAGGAACUGCACGGGAUACUGCCUGGCUUGAGUUCGGGAGAGGGAAGUGGAAUUCCGGGUGUAGCGGUGAAAUGCGCAGAUAUCCGGAGGAACACCGGUGGCGAAGGCGGCUUCCUGGACCGAAACUGACGCUGAGACGCGAAAGCUAGGGGAGCAAACGGGAUUAGAUACCCCAGUAGUCC
This 451-nucleotide ribosomal RNA is filed under the name uncultured bacterium. RNAcentral describes it as "bacterial SSU rRNA". It matches the Rfam family "Bacterial small subunit ribosomal RNA", at positions 354 to 796 of the family's 1533-position model. The record is from RNAcentral.